UGGGACCUUGGAGGAAGCUACCAUGCAAUUUCCUCUGAGCCACAGAGGUACGUAAGCUUUAUUGAAAUGUCUCUUUUCAUCCACCGUCUCCCUACUCCCUCUUGGCUGCAGUUUCAUCGCAACUUCAUCCUCAAUAACCCAAUCCCCUUCUUCUUCUUCGCCAUCAUCAUCACCCGCAUCCUCUAUCUCAAUCGCUUUCAUAUAUAAAUUACACCGAUUCUUACAGCUUCCAACACGCCCUCCUUCUCGCCAAACAUGGCGUCCGCCAAGUGGUUCUCCAACACAAGUCUCCGCCUCAGUCUCGGUCGCUCCAAGUCAAAGCCGGCCAGAUCAAGAUCAUCCAACUCCUUAACCUCUCCCACGUCAUCAUCAUCUUCUACCCCAAAGCCCGUCACCAGAGAGGAUGAACUGAGGGAGGUGUUCCGGCGUUUUGACGGUAACGGAGACGGCAAAAUAUCGGCCCUUGAACUCAGGUCGUAUUUCGGGUCCAUUGGGGAGUACUUGUCCCACGAAGAGGCCGAAGGGGUGAUCCGCGACCUUGAUUCAGACGGGGACAGUCUUCUGGACAUGGAAGAUUUCAUGAAGCUGAUGAAGAAGGAAGAAGGCGAUGAGGAUCUGAAGAAGGCGUUCGAGAUGUUUGAGUGGGAAAAGGGGUCGGGAUGCAUAACCCCGAAAAGCUUGCAGAGGAUGCUGCAUCGUCUGGGAGACGACAAAUCGUACGACGAGUGCGAGGCAAUGAUACACGCCUUCGACGUGGAUCGCAACGGAGUCCUGGAUUUCAGUCCACUCUUAGAACUGAAGCAAAGUGGCGACUGAAAAGAGGACACACAUUAUAAAGCAACCCUGCCAUCCCUUUCAGCUCUGCUCCUUGGUUCCUCCUCCGACCUCGCCACUUUGCUCCUCGAUUCCUCCCGCUUUGCUCCUCGGUUCCUCCUCUAGCGACAUCAUUGUGGGCCUCCUGUUCCUCUUCUAGCGACAGUGUUCUCUAGCUAAAGGUACUGCUUCACCUUAAUCAUUGUCUUCUCCUCGAAAACACAUAGAAACAAGUUGGAAGCUUAGGUUAAUGAAUCUCGUUUGAAAGUAGAUUCCCUUCAUUAGCUUUUUCUACAAGCUUUAAAUGUAACCAACCUGCCAGAUAGAGGAAACAUAACUUCAACUCAUAAGUUGCAGCUGAAAUCAUGACUUUAUCAAACAUAUAUAAUCUCUUCGUUUCUGUCUCAAAGAUUUCUAGCAUGUGAUAUUUUGAUGAAUAUAAAGAUUCUUGCUUUCUUGUUUAUUUUGUUUUGUAAAUAAAGUGAAACUAACAUUCAAACAUAAGUGCUUAACUCUUGAGUUUGAUAUUCAGUUGCUUUUCUCUCUUCAUUGUCUAUAUUGUGUACAUGUAUUGGUGUAUUCUUUUAUUGCUUGCUCUUUGUUCCUUACUCUACUAGUAGACUAUUUUCUAUAACUUCUGAGCUUAUGUGCUACUUUUAAUUUAGAGAUUAUAUCAUUGGGAGGAAAAUGAAACAAAGAUAAUAAGAUAUGCCUUUGAGGCCAUUGGCUCUAGACGACUUAGUGAUAUUCUUGGUAAAGAAAGGAAAAAGCAUAGGGAAAAUGAAAAUUAUGUUCCCAAUUGGAUAAGUGGAGCUCACUGAAAUGAACUUGUGCGGUAUUGGAAUACCCUAAAAUCCAAAAAGAUUUCAACAAUCAAUUCAAACAAUAGAUUGGCAAAUCCAUCUCUUCAUACAGGAGGAUCUAUUCCCACACAUUUACAUGCUGCAAAAUUGGUAAGUUCUAAUUUAUAUAGCUGUAAAAUCUGUUUCUUUGCAUUAUUAAUGAUUUGAUGCUAAUUAUAUAACAAUGAUUAUUACAUUUAUAGGAAAAAAGCACCGGAAAGAGAGUGAUGUUUCCCAAUUAUAUGUGACUACACAUAAGAAAAAGAAAGACAAUCAAUGGGUUGAUGAGAAAUCAAAAAACACCUAUGUGACAUUCAAAAAAAAUAUUCAGCAAGCUGCUGGAAUUUCUGAAGAGAUUAUUGAGGAGCAAGAUGGACAACAACGAAAUAGUGAUGCUGCUGUAGAACUUGAAAAUGAACGUGCAGGAGAACAGCCAACCCAACAAGUUGCAGACGAUGACUUUCUUCAAACUCAAGCCUCUCUCCCUUCAGAAGAAGUAGCUCAAGCAUGGUUGAAGGCUAUCGGGGGGACAAAAAAAGUGGUAGAGUUUAUGGAUUAGGAUUACAUGCUGCUGUAGUAUGUGGCUUUGCUGGCAACUCUGUAUUCCACAUUAACAAUGCUCCAUCUCCUGCUGCUCCCCAUUCUACAACUGUAGAUAAUGUUGUUCAAACGCCUGCAUUUGAAGAAGCUGUUAACCGUGCUGUAGAGGAAAGGGUACAACGUGUUCUUGAAGAAAAGAUGAACUAAGCAUUAGAUCAAAGAUUGUCAAUAUGAGACUUUCAAUACGGCAAGACAUAUUUAGAGUUAUUCGAACUCUAGGUGAAAGGGUCUUAACUCCACAGCAAAAUGCCAAUAGCUCUAAUUCCUCUAGGCAACAAGAUUCUAAUCAUGAUUGUGGAAAAUAACUUAUGUAUGAAGUGUUUUGAACUUGCUGUGUACUUUUUUUAUAUUUUGCAUAACUCUUUAUGUAUGAAUUAGCUUGAACUUUAUGACUAUAAUUGAUAUAGUAUCACAUUUUUGUUA
Prosopis cineraria is the source of this 2678-nucleotide RNA transcript. It is a transcript of the gene named probable calcium-binding protein CML41, with no coding region annotated. The record is from RefSeq and is a predicted model, not a curated record. The transcript is spliced from 4 exons. NCBI's taxonomy places the organism in Eukaryota, Viridiplantae, Streptophyta, Magnoliopsida, Fabales, Fabaceae.